Molecule: ribosomal RNA, 475 nt
Filed under: uncultured organism
Description: bacterial SSU rRNA
Rfam family: Bacterial small subunit ribosomal RNA
Source: RNAcentral
GAUGAACGCUGGCGGCGUGCCUAACACAUGCAAGUCGAGCGGAGAUGUUCAAGGUACUUGUACUGAGGACAUUUUAGCGGCGGACGGGUGAGUAACACGUGAGUAACCUGCCUUGGGCAGUGGAAUAACAUUGUGAAAACAGUGCUAAUACCGCAUAACGUCAUUUACCGGCAUCGGCAGAUGACCAAAGGAGAAAUCCGGCAGAAGAUGGACUCGCGUCCGAUUAGCUAGUUGGUGAGGUAACGGCCCACCAAGGCUUCGAUCGGUAGCCGAACUGAGAGGUUGAUCGGCCACAUUGGGACUGAGACACGGCCCAGACUCCUACGGGAGGCAGCAGUGGGGAAUAUUGGGCAAUGGGGGAAACCCUGACCCAGCAACGCCGCGUGAAGGACGAAGGCCUUCGGGUUGUAAACUUCUUUGAUCAGGGACGAAAGAAAUGACGGUACCUGAAGAACAAGCCACGGCUAACUACGUG